Molecule: ribosomal RNA, 1995 nt
Filed under: activated sludge metagenome
Description: bacterial LSU rRNA
Rfam family: Bacterial large subunit ribosomal RNA
Source: RNAcentral
AAAAGCUACUAAGAGCUCAUGGAGGAUGCCUUGGCGCUGAAUGCCGAAGAAGGACGUGGGACACUGCGAAAAGCCUGGGGGAGCUGUGAACGAGCGCCGAUCCCGGGAUGUCCGAAUGGGGAAACCCGACAGAGAGGACCUCUGUCAUUCAUACAUGAAUCAAAUAGUGUAUGAAAGGGAACCCGGGGAACUGAAACAUCUAAGUACCCGGAGGAAAAGAAAAGAUUCCCAAAGUAGUGGCGAGCGAAAUGGGAGAAGUCCAAACCGGAGCGGGGAGACCUGCGAAGGGGUAGUAGGAUCAGGAAAAAGUGAAAAAAGCCAGAGGGAAGCGGAAGGAUAUGGGAAAAUCCGGCGAAGAGGGUGAUACCCCCGUACGCGAAAACCGAAGGGCACGACCUGACACCUGAGUAGUGCCGUGCACGCUAAUACGGCAUGAAGCUGGGGAGACCACUCUCCAAGACUAAACACAUUCAGCGACCGAUAGAGGACAAGUACCGUGAGGGAAAGGUGAAAAGUACCCUGAACAAGGGAGUGAAAAAGAACCUGAAACCGUGAGCUUACAAGCAGUCGGAGGGCGAUGGUGAAAACCGGGCCUGACGGCGUGCCUCUUGGAGAAUGAGCCUGCGAGUUAGUUGUCGUGGCGAGGUUAAGGGAGAGAAACCCGGAGCCGAAGCGAAAGCGAGUCUGAAAAGGGCGUCGAGUCGCGACAACUAGACACGAAACUGGAUGAGCUAACCAUGGGCAGGAUGAAGCGAGACUAAACCCUCGUGGAGGUCCGAACCUUUCAACGCUGCAAAGUUGAGGGAUGACCUGUGGUUAGGGGUGAUAUGCCAAACGAAUUCAGAGAUAGCUUGUUCUCCCCGAAAUAGUUUUAGGACUAGCGUGGGGGGAUAACUUAUGGAGGUAGAGCACUGACUGGGUAAGGGGGUCAAAGACUUACCGAACCCAAACAAACUCCGAAUGCCAUAAGGGGGGACCCCUGCAGUCGGACUGCGGGUGAUGAGAUUCGUAGUCAAGAGGGAAACAGCCCAGAUCAUCGGCUAAGGUCCUCAAAUUUAUGCUAAGUGGGAAACGAUGUGGAGUUACAAAAACAACCAGGAGGUUCGCUCAGAAGCAGCAAUCCUUUAAAGAGUGCGUAAUAGCUCACUGGUCAAGUGAUUCUGCGCGGAAAACGUAACGGGGCUAAGCAUAAUACCGAAGCCAUGGGAUUGAUAUGGAGACAUAUAGAUCGGUAGGGGAGCGUUCUGUGAGCGGAGAAGGCACACUGAGAAGAGUGUUGGAGCGAGCAGAAGUGAGAAUGCAGGCAUGAGUAGCGCAAAACAUGUGAGAACCAUGUUCGUUGAAAAUCCAAGGUUUCCGACGUCAAGUCAAUCUGCGUCGGGUUAGUCGGGGCCUAAGGCGAGGCCGAGAGGCGUAGUCGAUGGACAACUGGUAAAAAAUCCAGUACCGAUUGUGGAGAGUGAAGGGGGGACACAACGAGGGAAUCCGGCCUGUUAGUGAAUUCAGGUGGAUGAACGUCAGGCGAAGAGACCGGGAAAGAAAAAGCCCGGACGAGCUGAGGGAAAUCAGGAGGCGCAAGCCAGAACCUGGAGGGACCUUGUUGGCGAGAAAAGCCUCUAAGCGAAGAGACACAAUUGCCCGUACCGGAAACCGACACUGGUGGAUAAGUAGAAGAUACAAAAACGAACGGGAGAACUAUCGUUAAGGAACUAGGCAAAAAGGCCCCGUAACUUAGGGAGAAGGGGUGCUCACGGAACUGAAAGGUAAAGUGAGUUGCAGUGAAAGGGCUCUAGUGACUGGUUAUCAAAACCACAGGUCUCUGCGAAGUUGAAAGACGAAGUAUAGGGGCUGACGCCUGCCCAGUGCCGGAAGGUUAAGGGGAGAGGUUAGACGGAAGUCGAAGCUUUGAACUGAAGCCCCGGUGAACGGCGGCCGUAACUAUAACGGUCCUAAGGUAGCGAAAUUCCUUGUCGGGCAAGUUCCGACCCGCACGAA